RNAcentral lists this non-coding RNA (52 nucleotides) under Yersinia mollaretii ATCC 43969. The record is from RNAcentral. Lineage: Bacteria; Pseudomonadati; Pseudomonadota; Gammaproteobacteria; Enterobacterales; Yersiniaceae.
UUAAAUGCUGGAGAUGACAUCGCCCAUCAAGGCUGAUGAUGUCUACGUAACC